RNAcentral lists this ribosomal RNA (1665 nucleotides) under Triticum aestivum (bread wheat). RNAcentral describes it as "partial small subunit ribosomal RNA". The record is from RNAcentral. Lineage: Eukaryota; Viridiplantae; Streptophyta; Magnoliopsida; Poales; Poaceae.
AUGAAGUGGUACUCGCGGAGCCGGUCCGUGCCGGCCACGCCCAGGGGCCUCCCCGCCGACGCCAUCGCCGGCAACCCCGGCCCCGGCUGCAUGUCCAUGGUCCACUACCUCAUCUUCGCCCCCGGCGCCGGCUGCGUCGGCCGCCCUCCCUCCUCCGACGGUUCCUCCGUUGCCGCCACGGCCACCGCCGUCGUCUCCGGUUCCCACAAGCUCAACUCUCCUUCUCCCUCACCCCACGAGAAAGGGCUGGAGGCGCCGAGGAACAGCCUGGAGCUGGACGCGGACCAGCUGCGGGACAUCCAGAUCGGCGUGCAGGUGGAGCCGGCGUUCGACGCGCUGGCGGUGGCCGGCAGGAGGAGCACGGGAGGCCGGGCCACCGCGCCGCCGUCCGAGGCCGGGACGCCGCGCACGCCCAGCCUCGUCGCGCGCCUCAUGGGCAUCGACGGCCUCCCCGACGACGCCUGCUCGCCCUCGCCGGGCCUCAAGAAGGGCAACAACAAUCCCAGGGCGGCGGCGGCGGCGGCGGCCGUCAAGGAGAAGAAGAAGCGGGUCAUCCCCGAGUCCAUGAACCGGCAGCCGCUGCGGAGCCUCAGCUGCAACGUCGGCGCCGGCGACGCCAGGUCGCUCCCGGACACGCCGCGGGCGUCCGCGUCGUCGGCCAGGACGGCCUCCGCGUGGGACGUGGUGGACCGCCCGCGGCUGUCGUUGCAGGUGCUCAAGGAGAACGUGCUCGACAGGGCGGCGCAGUACAUGUCCAUGCCGACCUCGCCGACGUCGGCGAAGAAGAAGAAGGAUAGGAGGGACGGGGACGCCGUGGGGCACCGGCGGAGGGACGCCAAGGAACACGCCCGCGAGAUCGUCAGGCAGGCCAAGGAGACCGUCACCAACCGCAAGUCCGGCGGCAAGCAGAAGCCGACGACGGCGAGCGCGGGCUGCGACAACAAGGAAAACGCGAUUCCGUCUGCGGUGGAGGACAAGAAGAUGGUGGUGGUCCAAGUUCCAGCAGCGGCAGCUUCCGUCGUCACACCGACCGCGCCGCCGACGCCGCAGGCGAAAGCACAAGCCGAUCAGCAGCAGCCACACGCCCCGAGGCUUCCACCGCCCCCGCCGCCGAUGCGCGCGAAACCGUCGCGGCCACCGCCUCCGCCACCGCCACCGGAUCAUCCAAUUCCAACGACGUCGACCAGAGCGGCGCCGCUGUCGCCGCAGGCCGUCCAGUGCAAGCGACCACCAGACGGGUGCGAGCGCUUCGCGACGCGGGUCAAGAACCGCCAGCCGAGACAACGAUUGAAAAGGCGGCACCCCCGUCGUCUCCUUCCACAGUCGCAGGAGCCACCGCGCCGGCGGCGAGCUCGCACGCGCGCGUCGUCGACCAGCACCACCGCCGCAGAUUACUUCUUCCCGCGGUUGCGUCCACAUCGUCCUCGUCCUCGUCGCUGGAGGACGACCCCGAGUACGGUUACCUGCGAACGGUGCUGGAGCGUGGCGGGUUCAUGCGCGCAGUGCCGCCGCCGCACCGGCCGUUCAAGGGCCACUCCAUGUCAUCCCCGGUGGACCCGAUCGUGUUCCAUCUCCUGGAGCUGGACCUCCCCGCGGACGACUCCGACGACCGCCGCCAGGGCCCGCUCCGGCACCGCUGGAACCGGAAGCUCCUCUUCCACCUAG